GGGUUUAUAGCUCAUUGGUGGAGCAUUUGACUGCAGAUCAAGAUGUCACCGAUCUAAACUCGGUUAGAUUUG
Brassica napus (rape) is the source of this 72-nucleotide non-coding RNA. Lineage: Eukaryota; Viridiplantae; Streptophyta; Magnoliopsida; Brassicales; Brassicaceae. The record is from Rfam.